This 89-nucleotide transfer RNA is filed under the name Gorilla gorilla gorilla (western lowland gorilla). It matches the Rfam family "tRNA". From Rfam's summary of the family: Transfer RNA (tRNA) molecules are approximately 80 nucleotides in length. Their secondary structure includes four short double-helical elements and three loops (D, anti-codon, and T loops). The record is from Rfam by way of RNAcentral. Lineage: Eukaryota; Metazoa; Chordata; Mammalia; Primates; Hominidae.
GGCUCUGUGGCGCAAUGGAUAGCGCAUUGGACUUCUAGUUGACGAAUAGAGCAAUUCAAAGGUUGUGGGUUCGAAUCCCACCAGAGUCG